AGGGUUACGGUCGUUGGAAAUUCUGGAUCUCAGCUACUGCAAUCUAAUAGAUGGAGGACUUCCGGAAGACAUUGGAUGUUUAUCCUCUUUAAAAGAGUUGAAUCACAAUAGAAAUAAUUUUGAGCGUUUGCCUCAAAGCAUAGCCCAACUAGGUUCUCUUCAAUUCUUGGACUUAUCAUAUUGCAAGAGGCUCAAAGAGUUACCAGGUUUCACGGGGAUGCAAUGCUUGGAUACUUUGGAUCUCAGUUUCUGCAAUCUAACAGAUGGAGGGCUUCUGGAAGACAUUGGAUCCUUAUCCUCUUUGAAAGAGUUGAAUCUCUGUGGAAAUAAUUUUGAGCAUUUGCCUUGUAGCAUAGCCCAACUUUGUGCUCUUCGAACCUUGGA
This is a long non-coding RNA of Solanum stenotomum, 384 nucleotides long. RefSeq lists it as uncharacterized. The record is from RefSeq and is a predicted model, not a curated record. The transcript is spliced from 3 exons. Lineage: Eukaryota; Viridiplantae; Streptophyta; Magnoliopsida; Solanales; Solanaceae.